GCAAAAAGAGUGAACAAUAUAAGGCCACUUUGCAGCUUCUACCGUCCUUUACUCCAUCGGUGUCUCCCUCUCGAAUCUUCUGGCAGAUGACAACUCCCAUGGCCUCUCUCUAUAUCUCACCCUCUCUCCCUCUAUCUUCUGGGAUUGUUCUUCGUGACUCCCAUGGCCUCUCACCGCCGCCUCACGAUCUCCUCACAAAUCAUGUGCACUCUCUCUCUCAUCACCGCGCCAACGCAGACGAUAGAUCCACCACCGUCGACGCCGCCUCUCUGUCUCACCACCACCGAAGCCCUCACCGACGCCGCCCCAUAGGCGAUCGGUUUCCUGGCGUUGUCUCGAUGUUGAACCUUGUCGGCCGACGUAUGAUCUUAAAGUCUGGGUCGAAGUGCUGAGGUUCAAGGGUUCCUCUAAAUCUGAAAAGUGAAGGCAUUGGGUAUUUUGUUCCAAUGGAUGUGAAAUCCCCCAAUAUUCAAGUAGGUUGGGUUUGGAUUUCAUCGAAUGCCGUAGUUUUUUAAAUCCCCCAAUCUUCGAAAGCCCUAAUUUUAGAUUACGAUUUCAUUGAUUAGGGCUUUGGUAGCAUUGUGGAGAGAGAAGAGUUUCCUGAAGAUUUCGACAAGUACUUGCGCGCAGAGCUCAACUGGUCUCGAUUGGAGGACGACAUUAGAGAGAAACCCACGUCGCCGGUUGGGUUUUCUGGUGUCGAGAAGACGACAGACCACCCUAUGCUCCUCCGGUUUUCGAUUGCGGCAUUCUCUGAAAAUCUCAUUGGCUUAGAGCUAGAAGAUUGGGGAGCGCGUGGUACUUCAAUUAGUUUACCCUUCUUUUCUAUUCCAAAUUUCCAAUUUGUUGUGAAGCCUGUCAAUAAUGCUAUUGUAGCGUUCUUUCCCACCAAUACUUUUAUUAUCUGUUGAUAUCAUUAUCUGAUUGUUUAACUACCAAUAUUUGUUAUCUGUCAAUAAUGCUAUUGCAAUCCUUAGUUCGUUAAAGCUUGGUAGAAGAUAUUGGUUGAUCACUGUGCAGUUAAUGACUGGAAAAAGGAAAACUUGAUACGAUUAUAUGCGAUGCUACGUAAAUCUAUACACUAAUUUCCGCAGGUAAAUUGCUCGUAUGCUGCCAGUGUCAUAAAUAAUAAUGUUCAAUAAUGUGCUUUAGGAUCCCACUUAUAGAAAUGGCUUCUGUAGAAUGAUAUCAUGACUACUAGAUCAGUUGUUUUGAAAAUGACACUGACCCUUAUUAGAGGAUAAUGGAUGGUACCAGGUGAAUUAUAACAUGGCUGAUCGUCUUGAUAGGGGAAGCAACUAAGGAACUGAAUUUGCUCCCGCCCCUUGCAGUCCUUGGAAAGGAGCAUACCAUUGCAACACGACGCAGUUGUCAGGCUGUACAUAUAUCAAGGAGGCAAAAGGUUACUGCUCGAUUAUAAGUUACAGCGGGGACCUUCCUUAGAGGGCCUGUUAAAAAGGGGGAGACUUUUGGUCUACAGAUUUUCUCUCUCUCUCUCUCUCUCUCUCUCUCUCUCUCUCUCUCUCUCUCUCUCCUCUACCGCUUCACUCCAAGCCCUAAUUCCUUCCACAAACCCCCAGCCAUGGACGACAACAACAGCCAACAACCCAACCUCAUCGCCGCUCCCCCCCAACUCACCCCCGAUGACGUACGCUCCCUCCUCUCCUCCUUCACCGAUGAUCAGCUCCUCCAGUAUGGGCACUGUGCCACGAAAAGCGUUCGGAAGGUAUUUUGCUGGCUACCGAUUUUGGCAAGGGAAACCGGUGCACCAUUUGGAAGUGAUCAAUAGGGUGCAGGGAUACUGGAAAACAAUGACAGAACCCUGUUCCUUGGUGACAAAAGAUCAAAAUUUGGUUUCUUAAGUGUCUUGACAGUGGAUGUGCAUGGUGCUUGAAUUCAUAACUUGGAUUCUACACUGGUUAUGGCUUCUUCUUGUCGUUUUGGAUUGCUGAAUGGAAAACAAAUUCCCACUUGAUCAUCCCUUCAUUGUAAUUUAUAGGCAUGUGCAUGUGCUGCUUGUGUGAAAAUAUACUGCAUUGGGGUUUGGUCCUAUCGAACCACUAUUUCUUCGUAUAUAUAGAAAGUUCAUUGGUUAUAAAUUCUUGGCAAAAGUUAUCCAAGCCUCUUCUUUGCAAUUAUUUGCAGUCAUGAACAAUUGGUUCUGGAUAUGUGCCAAUAUUGAUGGAUGAUGUAUGUGCCAUGAUAGUUUGGGUGUUUUGGCUUGCAA
Molecule: long non-coding RNA, 2227 nt
Organism: Rhododendron vialii
Lineage: Eukaryota; Viridiplantae; Streptophyta; Magnoliopsida; Ericales; Ericaceae
Exons: 6
Source: RefSeq, a predicted model, not a curated record